Molecule: long non-coding RNA, 1421 nt
Organism: Vicia villosa (hairy vetch)
Lineage: Eukaryota; Viridiplantae; Streptophyta; Magnoliopsida; Fabales; Fabaceae
Exons: 3
Source: RefSeq, a predicted model, not a curated record
GGAUAUGUUUCAUGCAAAUCCCUAUUUUUUUUAACAUAAUAGUCCACUAUUAGUAAAUUGCAAGCAAACAGAGAAGAUGGAACAUAGAGGUAGCUUUGAGGGAGAUGGUAUCUUGCAUGGAGUUGGAGAUGCUAGCUAACAUGGAAUAACUCUAGGAGUGACUCAAGGUUCUUAUUGGGAUGUAUUUGCUGGCUCUUAAUGGGGAUAUACUUGCUGCUAAUUCAUUCCACUGUGAGUUCUUCAAAGUGUCGAAACACUUUGGAGUGUUACCAGAAAGGUAUUUUUUAAUUUAGUUAGUUUUGUGGCCAUGCCUAUAGGCUAGAAAAAUCUGUUUGAGAUUGAGUUUAAAUUAGUUAGUUUUGGGUAGCAAAUUCUAUUUGUAAAUUUUGUGUGAAAAUUCUGUGUCGAAGCAAUUUAGUUAGUUUUGUGAUAUCAUUGCAACAUCAAACAAGAUGCAUCAAACAAGAAACAAAUGGAUAUUGAUGUAUAUCAUGCUAGAUUUUGCCAACUAGAAAAUGUUCCUGAAUUUAAAUUAGAAUGGUCUUGUAAUUCACUUUAAAUAAAAUAUUUUGUAUAGCAUGAUAUAUUUGAUGUGGUUGCCUAUACAAUAGGAUGAUAUAUUUGAUGUGGUUGGCUAUUGUAUAGCAAUUUGGUUUGAAGAAUUCUUAUAAUGUGUCAGGGCAUGUUUCGGAUAUACACUUCCGAAUUCACCCUUUAUUUUUUAACGAAAACAGAUGGUUUUCGGAUAUGCAUAUCUGAAACAUGCCCUGAUGGUUUUUUUUUAACAUUUUGGAUAUGCAUUUUCGAAUUAUGCAGAACCAGCAACAUAAUUUAUUUAGGCAGAAUCAGUAUCAUAGAAACAUAAAAACAUUUAAAUCGGUAAAAGUAAACAGAGGUAAAAUGUUGAAUAGAUAUAUCAUAUAUGUAUUGAAACGUAUAGAAUUUACAUUGUGCACGACAAUAUAUUUCCGAAGAGACGCAAUUUUUCAUCCCCAAAUAUGCUCCAAUGCAAGGAAAUGAGAGAUGAAAUGAGGAAAGUUUACCUUAAAUUGUAAUUUUUUAUGCUCUCUUUGACUUGAUAAAACACUUGAAACUUGGUUUGAAGACGAAAAAUAGAUUGAGAAUGGAUGAAGUUUUUUUGGAGGGUUUUGAUUAUGGGUGAAAUGAGGAGAGUGAAAUAGUUCAUGCAGGAAAGUGGUAUAAGCUGAAUAUUUUCGAAAAUACAUCUCCGUUUAAAUUUAACGUUCAAGUAUAAACAGGAUGUUUUCGGAGAUGCAUUUCCGAAACACCUUAAAAUUUGAUUUGGGGUGCUUUCGGAGAUGCAUCUCCUAAGGACAUUUUGGAAUUAGGGGUGCAUUCAAAGAUGCAUUUUCGAAUGAAAUUUUGAGAUUUUCAAAGAUUUUUUUAGGUGUACAAAAAAA